This 979-nucleotide ribosomal RNA is filed under the name Shigella flexneri. RNAcentral's name for it is "partial 23S ribosomal RNA". It matches the Rfam family "Bacterial large subunit ribosomal RNA", at positions 55 to 1074 of the family's 2925-position model. The record is from RNAcentral. Lineage: Bacteria; Pseudomonadati; Pseudomonadota; Gammaproteobacteria; Enterobacterales; Enterobacteriaceae.
GACGUGCUAAUCUGCGAUAAGCGUCGGUAAGGUGAUAUGAACCGUUAUAACCGGCGAUUUCCGAAUGGGGAAACCCAGUGUGAUUCGUCACACUAUCAUUAACUGAAUCCAUAGGUUAAUGAGGCGAACCGGGGGAACUGAAACAUCUAAGUACCCCGAGGAAAAGAAAUCAACCGAGAUUCCCCCAGUAGCGGCGAGCGAACGGGGAGCAGCCCAGAGCCUGAAUCAGUGUGUGUGUUAGUGGAAGCGUCUGGAAAGGCGUGCGAUACAGGGUGACAGCCCCGUACACAAAAAUGCACAUACUGUGAGCUCGAUGAGUAGGGCGGGACACGUGGUAUCCUGUCUGAAUAUGGGGGGACCAUCCUCCAAGGCUAAAUACUCCUGACUGACCGAUAGUGAACCAGUACCGUGAGGGAAAGGCGAAAAGAACCCCGGCGAGGGGAGUGAAAAAGAACCUGAAACCGUGUACGUACAAGCAGUGGGAGCACGCUUAGGCGUGUGACUGCGUACCUUUUGUAUAAUGGGUCAGCGACUUAUAUUCUGUAGCAAGGUUAACCGAAUAGGGGAGCCGAAGGGAAACCGAGUCUUAACUGGGCGUUAAGUUGCAGGGUAUAGACCCGAAACCCGGUGAUCUAGCCAUGGGCAGGUUGAAGGUUGGGUAACACUAACUGGAGGACCGAACCGACUAAUGUUGAAAAAUUAGCGGAUGACUUGUGGCUGGGGGUGAAAGGCCAAUCAAACCGGGAGAUAGCUGGUUCUCCCCGAAAGCUAUUUAGGUAGCGCCUCGUGAAUUCAUCUCCGGGGGUAGAGCACUGUUUCGGCAAGGGGGUCAUCCCGACUUACCAACCCGAUGCAAACUGCGAAUACCGGAGAAUGUUAUCACGGGAGACACACGGCGGGUGCUAACGUCCGUCGUGAAGAGGGAAACAACCCAGACCGCCAGCUAAGGUCCCAAAGUCAUGGUUAAGUGGGAAACGAU